UACGGAGGGUGCAAGCGUUGUCCGGAUUUAUUGGGCGUAAAGCGCGCGCAGGCGGUCUCUUAAGUCUGAUGUGAAGGCCCACGGCUCAACCGUGGAGGGUCAUUGGAAACUGGGGGACUUGAGUACAGAAGAGGAAAGUGGAAUUCCACGUGUAGCGGUGAAAUGCGUAGAUAUGUGGAGGAACACCAGUGGCGAAGGCGACUUUCUGGUCUGUAACUGACGCUGAGGCGCGAAAGCGUGGGGAGCAUACAGG
Molecule: unclassified non-coding RNA, 253 nt
Filed under: uncultured Bacillaceae bacterium
Lineage: Bacteria; Bacillati; Bacillota; Bacilli; Caryophanales; Bacillaceae
Description: contains 16S-23S intergenic spacer region
Rfam family: Bacterial small subunit ribosomal RNA
Source: RNAcentral